RNAcentral lists this long non-coding RNA (1060 nucleotides) under Sinocyclocheilus anshuiensis. RNAcentral describes it as "lncRNA (ENSSANG00000019742.1)". Lineage: Eukaryota; Metazoa; Chordata; Actinopteri; Cypriniformes; Cyprinidae. The record is from RNAcentral.
CUUUUUUAUUUUCUACACACUCGCCAUGUUUUUGCUGUCACAUCGUAUCUACAUGGACGCGACAAAGCAUUGCAAAUCAUUUCAACGUAGCGUCAGUACGUUAUAAAUAGAACGAGUCAGCAGUUUACUGACGGGGAUUUGUCAUGUUGCGCCGCAUCCAAGACAGCAUCACUGAUUAUAACGAGUUCUAUUGUAUUUUAUUGCAUCGCGCCGUGCCGCUCGCGUCCGGUGUAGAAACGACGUAAGUUAAUGUAGCUUUCUGAUGGUGCGUUUGAAUUUUCAUGCCACAUUAUUUGAAAUUAGCGUGGGCCAAACUUUUUUCUCUCACGGGCCGGAUGUGGCCCGCGGACCACCUAUUGAGGAAACUUGAUGUACUGGUUACUCCACUGCACACCUCGGAUCACUUCCUCCUCACUCUUAACCUCAACAUGGAUCCUGACUCAACACAUACCCAUCCACAUGUCAUCUUUCGACGUAACCUACGCUCAUUCUCACCCUCCUGGAUAUCUGCUAUGGUUUCAUCUUCGCUUCUUCCCCCUAAACGGUUAUCAUCUCUUGAUGCUAACAGUGCUACUGAUACCUUCUGCUCCACUCUUACAUUUUGUUUAGACACUGUCUGCCCCUUGUCUUCCAGGCCAGGCCAUACCACUCCUUCUGCCCCUUGGCUGUCUGAUGUUCUCCGCGAGCAUCGUUCUAAGCUCAGGGCUGCUGAAAGUGUGUGGCGCACAUCAAAAAAUCUUACUGACCUUAAUGUAUAUCAGUCACUCCUCUCUUCCUUCUCUGCUAAUGUCUCCACUGCUAAAAGGACAUACUUUUAUUACAAAAUUAACAAUUUGUCUAACUCUCGCAUGCUCUUUAAAACAUUUUCCUCCAUCCUUUGUCCUCCUCCUCCUUCCCCUCAAUCAACUCUAACAGCUGACGACUUUGCCACGUUCUUAAUUAAUAAAAUAAAAACCAUCAGUGCACAAUUUUCCACACCAUAAUCUGUCAGGCACAUCUUAACAGCAAACAUACACUCGUUUACAUCUUUCUCUUCACUCUCUGAGGCAGAAGUCUCCAA